Molecule: ribosomal RNA, 700 nt
Filed under: uncultured bacterium
Lineage: Bacteria
Description: bacterial SSU rRNA
Rfam family: Bacterial small subunit ribosomal RNA
Source: RNAcentral
CGAGCGAGAAAGGGAGCAAUCCCCGGUAAAGCGGCGCACGGGUGAGUAACACGUAGGUAAUUUGCCUCCGGGUAAUGGAUAACCUUCCGAAAGGAGGGCUAAUACAAGAUAAGACCACGACGCCGAAAAGCGAUGAGGUCAAAGUGGGCCUCUAUUUAUAAGCUCACGCCUAGAGAGAAGCCUGCGGCCCAUCAGCUAGUUGGUAGGGUAACGGCCUACCAAGGCGAAGACGGGUAGCUGGUCCGAGAGGAUGAUCAGCCACACUGGAACUGAGACACGGUCCAGACUCCUACGGGAGGCAGCAGUGGGGAAUCUUGCGCAAUGGGCGAAAGCCUGACGCAGCGACGCCGCGUGGGUGAUGAAGGCCUUCGGGUUGUAAAGCCCUGUGGGGAGAGACGAAUAAGUCGUAGCCAAUACCUCCGAUGAUGACGGUACCUCCUUAGCAAGCACCGGCUAACUCUGUGCCAGCAGCCGCGGUAAGACAGAGGGUGCAAACGUUGUUCGGAAUUACUGGGCGUAAAGCGCGUGUAGGCGGCCACACAGGUCGGACGUGAAAUCCCUCGGCUCAACCAAGGAAGUGCGUUCGAAACCGUGCGGCUAGAGUCUCGGAGAGGAAGGUGGAAUUGUCGGUGUAGAGGUGAAAUUCGUAGAUAUCGACAGGAACGUCGGCGGCGAAAGCGGCCUUCUGGACGAAGACUGA